RNAcentral lists this transfer RNA (105 nucleotides) under Hypoxylon trugodes. Its description in RNAcentral is "tRNA-Ser". It matches the Rfam family "tRNA". Rfam says of the family: Transfer RNA (tRNA) molecules are approximately 80 nucleotides in length. Lineage: Eukaryota; Fungi; Ascomycota; Sordariomycetes; Xylariales; Hypoxylaceae. The record is from RNAcentral.
GGCACUUUGGCGGAGUGGUUAACGCGAUGCCCUGCUAUAUCCUAGUAUUAGGAAUCAGCUUAGGCAUUCCCUUCGGGGGCGUGUGUUCGAAUCACACAGGUGUCG